This 601-nucleotide ribosomal RNA is filed under the name Microbacterium sp. Ri3Pt_4447. RNAcentral describes it as "bacterial SSU rRNA". It matches the Rfam family "Bacterial small subunit ribosomal RNA", at positions 413 to 1022 of the family's 1533-position model. The record is from RNAcentral. Lineage: Bacteria; Bacillati; Actinomycetota; Actinomycetes; Micrococcales; Microbacteriaceae.
GGCCUAUCGGGUUGUAAACCUCUUUUAGCAGGGAAGAAGCGAAAGUGACGGUACCUGCAGAAAAAGCGCCGGCUAACUACGUGCCAGCAGCCGCGGUAAUACGUAGGGCGCAAGCGUUAUCCGGAAUUAUUGGGCGUAAAGAGCUCGUAGGCGGUUUGUCGCGUCUGCUGUGAAAUCCCGAGGCUCAACCUCGGGCCUGCAGUGGGUACGGGCAGACUAGAGUGCGGUAGGGGAGAUUGGAAUUCCUGGUGUAGCGGUGGAAUGCGCAGAUAUCAGGAGGAACACCGAUGGCGAAGGCAGAACUCUGGGCCGUAACUGACGCUGAGGAGCGAAAGGGUGGGGAGCAAACAGGCAUAGAUACCCUGGUAGUCCACCCCGUAAACGUUGGGAACUAGUUGUGGGGACCAUUCCACGGUUUCCGUGACGCAGCUAACGCAUUAAGUUCCCCGCCUGGGGAGUACGGCCGCAAGGCUAAAACUCAAAGGAAUUGACGGGGACCCGCACAAGCGGCGGAGCAUGCGGAUUAAUUCGAUGCAACGCGAAGAACCUUACCAAGGCUUGACAUAUACGAGAACGGGCCAGAAAUGGUCAACUCUUUGGA